UUACGCUGCCUCUUCUGAUUUGCCACGAUCUUCACAUCGCGCACCGCCUCACAGCGACAAAAGCUGGUCGUCGGUCCCCUUUCUUGUGCAGAAACUGCAAGAGGCAGCCUCAAGCACGCCGCCGGCCAACCUGGAUGUCAUCGCUAGCUGGGAACAUUGCUGCCAGCAUCCUCCAACGACCCAAGCUCAGAUGGAUCAAUUCAAAAAUUUGAGACAGCUUCAGUGAAUUGCAAUUUUCCAGCUCCUGUAUUUUUUGCAUUUCUGCAGUUUUAGUGUUUUAAGAUGUCCAUCCAAUUUGUAAAGACACGUAGAGAAAGGCAACAACAUUUGUUCUGCGAAUA
Long non-coding RNA from Zingiber officinale, 341 nucleotides. RefSeq lists it as uncharacterized. The transcript is spliced from 2 exons. The record is from RefSeq and is a predicted model, not a curated record. Lineage: Eukaryota; Viridiplantae; Streptophyta; Magnoliopsida; Zingiberales; Zingiberaceae.